Long non-coding RNA from Lutra lutra (Eurasian river otter), 695 nucleotides. RefSeq lists it as uncharacterized. NCBI's taxonomy places the organism in Eukaryota, Metazoa, Chordata, Mammalia, Carnivora, Mustelidae. The transcript is spliced from 5 exons. The record is from RefSeq and is a predicted model, not a curated record.
CUCAUUUUCAGAACCUACAAUCCGCCUUGUAAUGCCGAUUAUCCACAGAUUGUGAAUUCUUCCUGGCAUUCCCAAAACUUCAAUUCAUAGAGGACACAUGACAUUUAAGAUGAAUGUGGAACAUACCUGCUAAUGGAGAUUAGCUUUGUGAACUUGCAAUCCUUCGUCUUCAAGCUCAAGGAGACCAGGACAUACCCAGAAUUCUAUUAGAUUAAGGCAAACAUCUAAAGUAAUCCAUGCCAAGAAGUCCUCUUCUUCUGGGAAUUUGGAGUUGAAUCAGACAAUGCUAAUCAGUCUGAACUAGGAAGUUGUGUGGAGCUGGGACUGAAGAGAGAGAGAGAGCACAAGCAGGAGGAGCAGCGGGCAGAGGGAGAAGCAGUCUCCCACCUAAGCAAGGAGCCGGAUGCAGGACUUGAUCUAAGGACCCACGGAUCUUGACCUGGGCCAAAGGGAGAUGCUUAACUGACUGAGCCACCCAGGCAUCCCCCUGGAUUGUAUUGUAAUGCCGGAGCCAAGAGGAUUUGCUGACGAGGUUUCAUCCAGACCAACAUAAUCCAAAUAUUUCCACCAAGACUUAAUCUUGCUCAGCAGCCACAAAUACAGCUUCCCUUCCUUGGUUUCCUUAUAACCAGAAUGAUGGUGUAACUUCAAGGUGUGGCUUUAUAAUCGGGGUAUGUGGAGGUUCUCACAUUUGC